Long non-coding RNA from Peromyscus eremicus (cactus mouse), 703 nucleotides. RefSeq lists it as uncharacterized. The transcript has 2 exons. NCBI's taxonomy places the organism in Eukaryota, Metazoa, Chordata, Mammalia, Rodentia, Cricetidae. The record is from RefSeq and is a predicted model, not a curated record.
CUGUCCUUCCAAGCCAGCAUGCUAGGCACGUCAGAGAUAGAGUGGAACUUGAGGCUAAAAACGGCAAAUGACUUCGUUUUGAUUAAAUAUGUAAAAAAGAAGGAAACAGGGAAGGAACGGCGGUCCGGAUGGGCAGUGGAGGAGGCAUCACCGCCCUCCAGCUGGGUGGAGUGGUAACCAUAGGAACUGAAGUCCGGAUCACCGGCCGAGGGCAAAGCAAGGCCAAGGGAACUAGAGAGGAAAGUCAUACACAUCAAGAAGCUCAGCACCUAUUCUGAAAUUACCUGGAGGGAGCCUUCCUCUCCCCCACAUGGCUGCCAGGCUGAGUUAUGGCCACCACCAUGAACACACCCCUUGCUCCUCGAUGAAGAAUGUGUCUGCCCCAAAGAACAACAUGUCCAUAGUGUUCAGUCUUGCUCUCAAGAAUGUAUUCAGCCAUCUUGAUCUCAAGCAUCAUUUGACCUGGGAGCUCCCACCAAACAAGGUCUCUGACCCCACAUGGUUUUGCCAACUUCCAUGGACUACCUCUUCACAUAUUGUUCCCAUAUAUGGCUUAUGUCUUCCAAUAUUUGGACUAUCAACUCCUCAAAGAAGCAUUAUCAAAUGGGUGAAUUCUUCUACUCUUUAUGAUUCUGUAGUCCAUAGCCCUUCAAUAUUUAUGUGUUUUAAACAAUUUCUGAGGAAAAAUUGUACUACUUUGAAA